This 500-nucleotide ribosomal RNA is filed under the name uncultured bacterium. Its description in RNAcentral is "partial 16S ribosomal RNA". It matches the Rfam family "Bacterial small subunit ribosomal RNA", at positions 30 to 523 of the family's 1533-position model. The record is from RNAcentral.
AUUGAACGCUGGCAGAAUGCUUUACACAUGCAAGUCGAACGGCAGCACGGACUUCGGUCUGGUGGCGAGUGGCGAACGGGUGAGUAAUGUAUCGGAACGUGCCCAGUCGUGGGGGAUAACGUAGUGAAAAUUACGCUAAUACCGCAUACGAUCUAUGGAUGAAAGCGGGGGAUCGCAAGACCUAGCGCGAUUGGAGCGGCCGAUAUCAGAUUAGGUAGUUGGGGGGGGAAAGGCCGACCAAGCCAACGAUCUGUAGCCGGUCUUAGAGGACGACCAACCACACUGGAACUGGGACACGGUCCAGACUCCUACGGGAGGCAGCAGUGGGGAAUUUUGGACAAUGGGCGAAAGCCUGAUCCAGCCAUUCCGCGUGCAGGAUGAAGGCCCUCGGGUUGUAAACUGCUUUUGUACAGAACGAAAGGGUUUCUACUAAUACUAGGAGCUCAUGACGGUACUGUAAGAAUAAGCACCGGCUAACUACGUGCCAGCCGCCGCCGUAA